CCUACGGGUGGCAGCAGUGGGGAAUAUUGGACAAUGGGCGGAACCCUGAUCCAGCGAAGCCGCGUGAGUGAAGAAGGAUUUCGGUAUGGAAAGCUCUAUCAGCAGGGAAGAAAAUGACGGUACCUGACUAAGAAGCCCCGGCUAACUACGGGCCAGCAGCCGCGGUAAUACGUAGGGGGCAAGCGUUAUCCGGAUUUACUGGGGGUAAGGGGAGCGUAGACGGGGCAGCAAGUCUGAUGUGAAAGGGCGGGGACCAACCCCGGGACUGCAUUUGAAACUGUUGAGCUGGAGUACAGGAGGGGUAAGCGGAAUUCCUAGUGUAGCGGUGAAAUGCGUAGAUAUUAGGAGGAACACCAGUGGCGAAGGCGGCUUACUGGACUGUAACUGACGUUGAGGCUCGAAAGCGUGGGGAGCAAACAGGAUUAGAUACCCUUGUAGUC
Molecule: ribosomal RNA, 440 nt
Filed under: uncultured bacterium
Lineage: Bacteria
Description: partial 16S ribosomal RNA
Rfam family: Bacterial small subunit ribosomal RNA
Source: RNAcentral